This 1146-nucleotide long non-coding RNA is filed under the name Bos indicus x Bos taurus (hybrid cattle). RNAcentral describes it as "lncRNA (ENSBIXG00000024434.1)". Lineage: Eukaryota; Metazoa; Chordata; Mammalia; Artiodactyla; Bovidae. The record is from RNAcentral.
AGCCUUUCACCCUAGAGCGGUGUCCAGGGACCAGAGACCGGGACCCGAAAAAUCGGCAGAGAGGUACCGAAGCAUUAGGGAAAAGAUUACCAGAGAGCGGGGAGGGUUUCCUGGCGAAACGCGGAGGCUGAGCAGAUGGAGGAACAAUGCCUCCUCCGCGAGAAAACCCUCGCUUGAGGCCGGGGCGGAGCGCGGAGGAGCUGCCUCCAGCCUCGGGCUCUCCCUCCCGGGCCCUCCGGCUCGUUCUGGGGCCGGUGCAGCCUCGUAGUUUGACAGGGCUAGGAAAGUUGCUCUUCCCCACAUUUCCUGCGAAGUGGUUUUCAGUUCUGCGUGGUUCCAGUCAAGAUGUCACUCCGUAGAUCCCCUGCGAUGAGCAGCUAAUAGAUUAUGCAUUAUGGGGCAGUCGAGUCCCCGGGCAGAACAGAGAGGGAGUCCAAACAUUUCCAACCUUCUCCUUCGGCUCCUGACCGGCCAGCCCAAUGCUUUGUUGUCUGGUCAGCAUGUGAAACAUAUACCCUCUGAGCACCUGUACUCUACGGCACUCUUCUCGGAGCUUGGAAUACACCAGUAUAUUUUAACCCCGCAUCCCCACACUGUGAAGCCUAAUGUCUUUUUUAACUACUUAAUGAUCUCCUGGCCCUGGGCUAAUUAAGCACCAUUUGAAGAAUCAUAUUGUUGUGCACGUGAUGUGGUGUUUUAGUAAACUGGCUCCCUGAGGGGGAAAAACCUUUAAAAAUGAAAAGCCAUAAUGUACUAUUGGAUUAUUUUCUUGGUGUAAAUAUUAUACAAUGGCCAGUUUCUAGCUACAGCAUCAUACCACGUACUUGAGUUGGGCAUGUGCAGAAUGGCCUCCUCGGAGCCAGUACAGCCAGCCUUCAGCAUGGUCCUGGCAUGUCUUGUUUUGUGUUCUGAGUUUAUUGAUAUACUUCUAACUUGACUUCAUUCAUCUGUACAGUGGAGAAACUAUUUUGCAAUUAUUAUAGAGAUGGAGUUUACUGCUGAAUAGUUUUGGUGGAAUCAAAAGCAGGAGGAUGCAAGCUAUCAAAAAGAUCACCUUAAUCAUAGAUCUUUAUAUGUGAAAAUAAUUUUAAAUUUAGAUGUGAAAAACAACAGACAAUUAAAAAAUAAACUCACAGAUGGUAUACA